UGAGCAACCUGCCCCUGACUCUGGGAUAACCCCGGGAAACCGGAGCUAAUAUCGGAUACGACACGCGAAGGCAUCUUCUGCGUGUAGAAAGAUUUAUCGGUCAGGGAUGGGCUCGCGGCCUAUCAGCUUGUUGGUGGGGUAACGGCCACCAAGGCGACGACGGGUAGCCGGCCUGAGAGGGCGACCGGCCACACUGGGACUGAGACACGGCCCAGACUCCUACGGGAGGCA
Molecule: ribosomal RNA, 231 nt
Filed under: uncultured bacterium
Lineage: Bacteria
Description: partial 16S ribosomal RNA
Rfam family: Bacterial small subunit ribosomal RNA
Source: RNAcentral